UGGGAGUAAAACGAAUCAAGGUUAAACUGAUUUUCGCAAGCUUCACCUUUGCUUGAUGAAAUCUUGUGCCAGAUCCAUUGUUUUGCUUGAGCUCAGAUUUGAUGGAGAGCUGCAGAUUUAAGAAAACCGGAUCCGGUCAGGGAACUACGAGAGUAAUCAAAUAACAAAAGUGUGUUUAAGAGAUAACCUAACCAUGAGCCGUACCUUGCUGAAAAGUUUCAUCCUUAUCAGGAAACUCCACUAAUCAAGCAUACAGAAGAUCAAGUGCAAAGAAUAAUAAUGGUUAAGAGACUACCAUACCAAAGGCACUGUUGUUUCUCGCUUGCUAUUUUUGAAAAUGCCCAUGUCUCCUUUGCUUGAAAGUAUCUGUUUCGCAAGAGUAUCAGGAGUGACAAGUAUAACGCAAGUUGAGGAGGAGACACGAGAAAGGAUAGUGUACCUUCUUGUUUAGAGGACGAGCUUUAAAAAUGUGUUUUCCCUCCGAGACAUCAUGCUUAGAUAUAUCCAUAGCGCUUGGUCUGGAAGAUUUUUUUUAAAAAUUGUAAGUUAGUAUUAACCUCAAACACAAGUUGAAGUGAGAAAUCAAGCAAUUUUCUAAUUUUUCUCUG
Long non-coding RNA from Brassica rapa (field mustard), 608 nucleotides. RefSeq lists it as uncharacterized. The record is from RefSeq and is a predicted model, not a curated record. NCBI's taxonomy places the organism in Eukaryota, Viridiplantae, Streptophyta, Magnoliopsida, Brassicales, Brassicaceae.